CGCUGGCGGCGUGCCUAAUACAUGCAAGUCGAGCGGAUGAAAGAGAGCUUGCUCUCUGGAUUCAGCGGCGGACGGGUGAGUAACACGUGGGCAACCUGCCUGUAAGACUGGGAUAACUCCGGGAAAACCGGGGCUAAUACCGGAUAACUUCUUUCUUCGCAUGAAGGAAGGUUAAAAGACGGUUAUGCUGUCACUUACAGAUGGGCCCGCGGCGCAUUAGCUAGUUGGUGGGGUAACGGCCUACCAAGGCGACGAUGCGUAGCCGACCUGAGAGGGUGAUCGGCCACACUGGGACUGAGACACGGCCCAGACUCCUACGGGAGGCAGCAGUAGGGAAUCUUCCGCAAUGGACGCAAGUCUGACGGAGCAACGCCGCGUGAGUGAAGAAGGCCUUCGGGUCGUAAAACUCUGUUAUCAGGGAAGAAUCCGUGCCGGAGUAACUGCCGGUGCGUUGACGGUACCUGACCAGAAAGCCUACGGCUAACUACGUGCCAGCAGCCGC
Molecule: ribosomal RNA, 502 nt
Filed under: uncultured bacterium
Lineage: Bacteria
Description: bacterial SSU rRNA
Rfam family: Bacterial small subunit ribosomal RNA
Source: RNAcentral